This is a long non-coding RNA of Dendroctonus ponderosae (mountain pine beetle), 1086 nucleotides long. RefSeq lists it as uncharacterized. Lineage: Eukaryota; Metazoa; Arthropoda; Insecta; Coleoptera; Curculionidae. The transcript is spliced from 2 exons. The record is from RefSeq and is a predicted model, not a curated record.
UCUCCUCGUUUUGUACUGUAAUUGUUAAAAUGUUGUUGUCUUUGUUGCUUAUUCUUCAAAUAGUUUCACUCUUCCAUCCAUUGCCCACUGGUUCAUGAGCAUCUGUUUUAGUUUAAUUUGCCCGUUAACAGCUCUGUGUUACCCAAUUUUUAUUACUACGAAUUGAUUAGUAUUUGUGUUACCUCCAUAAAAAAAAUUUUAUUGUGUAUUUACUGCGAGUUCUAUUCUUUUCAGUAAGUAUAUAAACUUAAUCGAAUUACCAUGGGCGCUAUUAUAUUAUAACUGUGUGAGGUGAUUUAAAUUUUGCUGCUUGGACAAGCGCGUACUAUGAGCUUCGCAAGUUUCCUCAAGGUUUUCCUGCUCUUUCUUCUAUUCGUUCAAAUAAGCCUGUCUACCAAUUCAGGCGAGUUAUCCGUUGCCAAACCGAGAUGGUACUAUCUUCGUUGUGUUGAAUGUUACCGGCCAGAUGCUAAGGGAGAAGCAUGUGUGAAGAUACCAGGAUGCAUCAAAAAUAGCUCAUUUUUCCAAAAACUAAUGGCGUCUGGCUGGUUCUGAUGGACGGACUCUGUAGCUUAAUCUGUAAGCUACAUGACUCACUUCCUCCGCGCGUUUAUUCGCAAAAAAAAACGGGGAAGAACUUUAAUUAAACUUUAUUAUUAUUAACUGGACUGUUAUUAAAAGCCUCAGCAGAAUGUUCCGAUGAGGAUAUUGCGCAGCGACUGUAAUGUGAGCUAAUCUUUGCCUUAGCAUUUCUCCAAUAACAGCGGAGGCCAGCAUGUCAUGCAUUCCAUCCAGCAGGAGGGAAAAGUUACAAGUGAUCACAAAAACAAUAAAAAAGGUCAUUCUCAAGAGGAAAGUUGACAUUAAGCAAGUUCAAUGAAGGUCAAUGAAGGAAAAACUUGGUUCAGCAAGCUGAUCCGAUAUCUGGCAGGAUAUCCGUGACGAUUUUGGAAAGUGGAAUGAUGUCUUGGGAAUCAGGGGUGGGUUUUAGGUCAACCAUGAUUCAGCUGAAACACAUGCGAAGUGGAAGCAUGCGCAAAUCGGUUUUAGCUGGGAAAAUUCACUAAACUAUUGUUACAAGUUUUA